RNAcentral lists this ribosomal RNA (410 nucleotides) under uncultured microorganism. RNAcentral's name for it is "bacterial SSU rRNA". It matches the Rfam family "Bacterial small subunit ribosomal RNA", at positions 509 to 917 of the family's 1533-position model. The record is from RNAcentral.
CAGCCGCCGCGGUAAUACGUAGGGGGCGAGCGUUGUCCGGAAUUAUUGGGCGUAAAGCGCGCGCAGGCGGUCCUUUAAGUCUGAUGUGAAAGCCCACGGCUCAACCGUGGAGGGUCAUUGGAAACUGGGGGACUUGAGUGCAGGAGAGGAGAGCGGAAUUCCACGUGUAGCGGUGAAAUGCGUAGAGAUGUGGAGGAACACCAGUGGCGAGGGCGGCUCUCUGGCCUGUAACUGACGCUGAGGCGCGAAAGCGUGGGGAGCAAACAGGAUUAGAUACCCUGGUAGUCCACGCCGUAAACGAUGAGUGCUAAGUGUUAGAGGGGUCACACCCUUUAGUGCUGUAGCUAACGCGAUAAGCACUCCGCCUGGGGAGUACGGCCGCAAGGCUGAAAUUUAAAGGAAUUAGCGGG